GAGACCUCAAGCGUUAUCCGGAAUCAUUGGGCGUAAAGCGUACCGACAGGUGGUUGUAUAAGUCAGAAGUGAAAUCUCCGAGCUCAACUCGGAAUCUGUCUUUUGAAACUAUACAACUAGAGGGGCAAAGAGGAAGCUGGAACGAACGGUGUAGUAGUGAAAUGCGUUGAUAUCGUUCGGAACACCAAUAGCGUAGGCAGGCUUCUGGGUGCCACCUGACACUGCUAGGACGAAAGCGUGGGGAGCGAAUGGGAUUAGAUACCCCAGUAGUCCACGCUGUAAACGAUGCACGUUAGGUGCUAGGGAGUAUCGACCCUCUUUAGUACCAUAGCUAACGCGUUAAACGUGCCGCCUGGGGAGUACGGCCGCAAGGCUA
This 376-nucleotide ribosomal RNA is filed under the name uncultured organism. Its description in RNAcentral is "bacterial SSU rRNA". It matches the Rfam family "Bacterial small subunit ribosomal RNA", at positions 528 to 896 of the family's 1533-position model. The record is from RNAcentral.